Molecule: ribosomal RNA, 1708 nt
Filed under: Listeria monocytogenes
Lineage: Bacteria; Bacillati; Bacillota; Bacilli; Caryophanales; Listeriaceae
Description: partial 23S ribosomal RNA
Rfam family: Bacterial large subunit ribosomal RNA
Source: RNAcentral
CCGGCGAGUUACGAUUUGUUGCAAGGUUAAGCGGAAAAAGCGGAGCCGUAGCGAAAGCGAGUCUGAAUAGGGCGCAUAAGUAACAGGUCGUAGACCCGAAACCAGGUGAUCUACCCAUGUCCAGGAUGAAGGUAAGGUAAUACUUACUGGAGGUCCGAACCCACGCACGUUGAAAAGUGCGGGGAUGAGGUGUGGGUAGCGGAGAAAUUCCAAUCGAACUUGGAGAUAGCUGGUUCUCUCCGAAAUAGCUUUAGGGCUAGCCUCGAGGUAAAGAGUCAUGGAGGUAGAGCACUGUUUGGACUAGGGGCCCUUCUCGGGUUACCGAAUUCAGAUAAACUCCGAAUGCCAUGUACUUAUACUCGGGAGUCAGACUGCGAGUGAUAAGAUCCGUAGUCGAAAGGGAAACAGCCCAGACCACCAGUUAAGGUCCCCAAAUAUAUGUUAAGUGGAAAAGGAUGUGGGGUUGCUUAGACAACCAGGAUGUUGGCUUAGAAGCAGCCACCAUUGAAAGAGUGCGUAAUAGCUCACUGGUCGAGUGACCCCGCGCCGAAAAUGUACCGGGGCUAAACAUAUUACCGAAACUGUGGAUGAACCUCUUUAGAGGUUCGUGGUAGGAGAGCGUUCUAAGGGCGGUGAAGUCAGACCGGAAGGACUGGUGGAGCGCUUAGAAGUGAGAAUGCCGGUAUGAGUAGCGAAAGAAGGGUGAGAAUCCCUUCCACCGAAUAUCUAAGGUUUCCUGAGGAAGGCUCGUCCGCUCAGGGUUAGUCGGGACCUAAGCCGAGGCCGAUAGGCGUAGGCGAUGGACAACAGGUAGAGAUUCCUGUACCAGUGCUAAUUGUUUAACCGAUGGGGUGACACAGAAGGAUAGGGAAUCGCACGAAUGGAAAUGUGCGUCCAAGCAGUGAGUGUGAGAAGUAGGCAAAUCCGCUUCUCGCGAAGCAUGAGCUGUGAUGGGGAAGGAAAUUAAGUACGGAAGUUCCUGAUUUCACGCUGUCAAGAAAAGCCUCUAGGAAGAGUAGUACUGCCCGUACCGCAAACCGACACAGGUAGAUGAGGAGAGAAUCCUAAGGUGAGCGAGAGAACUCUCGUUAAGGAACUCGGCAAAAUGACCCCGUAACUUCGGGAGAAGGGGUGCUCUAUUAGGGUGCAAGCCCGAGAGAGCCGCAGUGAAUAGGCCCAGGCGACUGUUUAGCAAAAACACAGGUCUCUGCAAAACCGUAAGGUGACGUAUAGGGGCUGACGCCUGCCCGGUGCUGGAAGGUUAAGAGGAGUGCUUAGCUUCGGCGAAGGUACGAAUUGAAGCCCCAGUAAACGGCGGCCGUAACUAUAACGGUCCUAAGGUAGCGAAAUUCCUUGUCGGGUAAGUUCCGACCCGCACGAAAGGCGCAACGAUCUGGGCACUGUCUCAACGAGAGACUCGGUGAAAUUAUAGUACCUGUGAAGAUGCAGGUUACCCGCGACAGGACGGAAAGACCCCGUGGAGCUUUACUGCAACCUGAUAUGGAAUGUUUGUACCGCUUGUACAGGAUAGGUAGGAGCCGAAGAGACGUGUGCGCUAGCAUACGAGGAGGCAAUGGUGGGAUACUACCCUGGCUGUAUGACCAUUCUAACCCGCCACGCUUAGCGCGUGGGGAGACAGUGUCAGGUGGGCAGUUUGACUGGGGCGGUCGCCUCCUAAAGAGUAACGGAGGCGCCCAAAGGUUCCCUC